CCUUGGGCUACGACACGUGCUACAAUGGCCGGUACGAGACGGACGCGAAAGCCGCGAGGUGGGAGCAAAUCCUAAAAAGACCGGUCUCAGUUCGGAUUGCAGGCUGCAAUUCGCCUGCAUGAAGUCGGAAUCGCUAGUAAUCGCAGGUCAGCAUACUGCGGUGAAUACGUUCCCGGGCCUU
This 181-nucleotide ribosomal RNA is filed under the name uncultured Bacillus sp. RNAcentral describes it as "partial 16S ribosomal RNA". It matches the Rfam family "Bacterial small subunit ribosomal RNA", at positions 1207 to 1382 of the family's 1533-position model. Lineage: Bacteria; Bacillati; Bacillota; Bacilli; Caryophanales; Bacillaceae. The record is from RNAcentral.